This 253-nucleotide ribosomal RNA is filed under the name uncultured bacterium. RNAcentral describes it as "partial 16S ribosomal RNA". It matches the Rfam family "Bacterial small subunit ribosomal RNA", at positions 524 to 776 of the family's 1533-position model. The record is from RNAcentral.
UACGUAGGGGGCAAGCGUUGUCCGGAAUUAUUGGGCGUAAAGAGCGUGUAGGCGGUCCGGUAAGUCGGCUGUGAAAGUCCAGGGCUCAACCCUGGGAUGCCGGUCGAUACUGCCGGGCUAGAGUGCGGAAGAGGCGAGUGGAAUUCCUGGUGUAGCGGUGAAAUGCGCAGAUAUCAGGAGGAACACCAAUUGCGAAGGCAGCUCGCUGGGACGUAACUGACGCUGAGACGCGAAAGCGUGGGGAGCAAACAGG